RNAcentral lists this ribosomal RNA (325 nucleotides) under uncultured eukaryote. RNAcentral's name for it is "partial 18S ribosomal RNA". It matches the Rfam family "Eukaryotic small subunit ribosomal RNA", at positions 1470 to 1796 of the family's 1831-position model. The record is from RNAcentral.
CCCUUAGAUGUUCUGGGCCGCACGCGCGCUACACUGAUGCAUUCAACGAGCCUAUCCUUGACCGACAGGUCCGGGUAAUCUUUGAAUCUGCAUCGUGACGGGGAUAGAUUAUUGCAAUUAUUAAUCUUCAACGAGGAAUGCCUAGUAGGCGCAAGUCAUCAGCUUGCGUCGAUUACGUCCCUGCCCUUUGUACACACCGCCCGUCACUCCUACCGAUUGGGUGUGCUGGUGAAAUGUUCGGAUCGGCCGUUUGUCGCGGUUUCCGCGUCAUGUGGCUGAGAAGUUCAUUAAACCCUCCCACCUAGAGGAAGGAGAAGUCGUAACA